CGACAACUCAAGAAGGAAGGUAUCCAUCUCUUAGGGGAUCUACAAGGUUGGACUUGAAGGGCACUUACCUAUAGGUUCACAUGGUGCCUCAUGAAGUUUCUGAAGUCUGUCACUGCGCACUGAAAAGCAAAGGGUAUCUGCUGUCACAUACCUAGACGACUUACCUUUUGCAAAUCCAAUUCAUGACUACGUUUACAAACGAGAUUUAUGUUUACAGUUUCGGGAAUUGUUGGGAUUCAUAGUGAACAGAG
Pelobates cultripes (western spadefoot toad) is the source of this 251-nucleotide non-coding RNA. The record is from the annotation of a GenBank genome assembly. NCBI's taxonomy places the organism in Eukaryota, Metazoa, Chordata, Amphibia, Anura, Pelobatidae.